GCCUACGGGGGGCAGCAGUGAGGAAUAUUGGUCAAUGGCCGAGAGGCUGAACCAGCCAAGUCGCGUGAGGGAAGACGGCCCUACGGGUUGUAAACUUCUUUUGUCAGGGAGCAAUUGAGUCCACGUGUGGGCUUAGCGAGAGUACCUGAAGAAAAAGCAUCGGCUAACUCCGUGCCAGCAGCCGCGGUAAUACGGAGGAUGCGAGCGUUAUCCGGAUUUAUUGGGUUUAAAGGGUGCGCAGGCGGAUUUUUAAGUCAGCGGUCAAAUCGUGGGGCUCAACCCCAUCCAGCCGUUGAAACUGGGGG
RNAcentral lists this ribosomal RNA (305 nucleotides) under uncultured bacterium. RNAcentral's name for it is "bacterial SSU rRNA". It matches the Rfam family "Bacterial small subunit ribosomal RNA", at positions 337 to 639 of the family's 1533-position model. The record is from RNAcentral.